Molecule: non-coding RNA, 29 nt
Filed under: Rattus norvegicus (Norway rat)
Lineage: Eukaryota; Metazoa; Chordata; Mammalia; Rodentia; Muridae
Source: RNAcentral
UGUCAUACCUGGACAGUUGUGGAGUUUGU